ACAAAACUCCUUAGCAUUUGGGAAUGAGUUUGUUUUCUAAAUAUUUAUCCAAGAGAAACAAAGAAGGCCUGUUAAUCGUCGGUUAAGGGAUAAGGAAGGCUUUUAAAACAAAACAAACGCAAAACUAACAGUUCUGUGAUGUUCAGCUUGCUAUCAUUGGCUUCCUUUUCCUCGAGAAAGUCAAUUGUGAUUUCUUUUACGAGGCUGAUUUAUUUAUAAGUGGCUUAAAGAGGGCACACCAUUCAAGGUUGCAUUAGAGUCUUCAGCAAACUAAGAACAUUGGGGAUCCCUUUGGGUCUUAGGACACUG
RNAcentral lists this long non-coding RNA (309 nucleotides) under Bos taurus (domestic cattle). RNAcentral describes it as "long non-coding RNA NONBTAT013909". Lineage: Eukaryota; Metazoa; Chordata; Mammalia; Artiodactyla; Bovidae. The record is from RNAcentral.